UGAUGAGAGAUUCUGCAUCAAUAGCUUGUCAGGCGCUUAUCCAUACCAUGCUGUACUCGAGGUUGUUUCCUGAUGAAGGAAUGCUGUCAGCCAAAUUCGAAUAUGAAUGCAGAGUUAGAGGUGCCCAAAGAAUGGCGUUUAACCCUGUUGUUGGUGGCGGACCUAAUGGAAGUGUCAUUCAUUAUUCUCGUAAUGACCAGAAAAUUGAAGAUGGGGACUUUGUUGUUUUAACAGAUUAAAGAUGGUAACCUUGUCUUG
RNAcentral lists this unclassified non-coding RNA (258 nucleotides) under Hevea brasiliensis (rubber tree). Lineage: Eukaryota; Viridiplantae; Streptophyta; Magnoliopsida; Malpighiales; Euphorbiaceae. The record is from RNAcentral.